RNAcentral lists this long non-coding RNA (211 nucleotides) under Manihot esculenta (cassava). Its description in RNAcentral is "long non-coding RNA (MESC_LNC011955)". The record is from RNAcentral. Lineage: Eukaryota; Viridiplantae; Streptophyta; Magnoliopsida; Malpighiales; Euphorbiaceae.
GUCUGGUGGAAUCUCGGAUGUCGGAAGCCUCUAGUAGGGUAAAACCAUGUUUUUAUGAAAUGUUUUAAUGUGUUUUAUGUUUUAAACAUGAAAGAAAAUGAGUUUUUGCAUGAAAAUAGCAUUGGAGGAAAACUCAGGUUCGGCCGCCGAACAUGCAUGCGUUUCAGGUGUGCUUUAGGCCCCCGAAAGCAUAAGUGAGGGAAGUCCAGGU